This 253-nucleotide ribosomal RNA is filed under the name uncultured bacterium. RNAcentral's name for it is "partial 16S ribosomal RNA". It matches the Rfam family "Bacterial small subunit ribosomal RNA", at positions 524 to 776 of the family's 1533-position model. The record is from RNAcentral.
UACGAAGGGGGCGAGCGUUGUUCGGAAUUACUGGGCGUAAAGGGCGCGCAGGCGGCUCUGAAAGUCAGAUGUGAAAGCCCCGGGCUUAACCUGGGAACUGCAUUUGAUACUCUAGAGCUUGAGUACGGGAGAGGAGAGUGGAAUUCCCAGUGUAGAGGUGAAAUUCGUAGAUAUUCGCAAGAACACCAGUGGCGAAGGCGGCUCACUGGCCCGAUACUGACGCUGAUGCACGAAAGCGUGGGGAGCAAACAGG